This 387-nucleotide ribosomal RNA is filed under the name uncultured bacterium. Its description in RNAcentral is "bacterial SSU rRNA". It matches the Rfam family "Bacterial small subunit ribosomal RNA", at positions 30 to 418 of the family's 1533-position model. The record is from RNAcentral.
AUUGAACGCUGGCGGCAUGCCUUACACAUGCAAGUCGAACGGCAGCACGGGAGCAAUCCUGGUGGCGAGUGGCGAACGGGUGAGUAAUAUAUCGGAACGUGCCCAGUCGUGGGGAUAACGUAGCGAAAGCUACGCUAAUACCGCAUACGAUCUACGGAUGAAAGCGGGGGAUCGCAAGACCUCGCGCGAUUGGAGCGGCCGAUAUCAGAUUAGGUAGUUGGUGAGGUAAAGGCUCACCAAGCCGACGAUCUGUAGCUGGUCUGAGAGGACGACCAGCCACACUGGGACUGAGACACGGCCCAGACUCUUACGGGAGGCAGCAGUGGGGAAUUUUGGACAAUGGGCGCAAGCCUGAUCCAGCAAUGCCGCGUGCAGGAUGAAGGCCUU